Pan paniscus (pygmy chimpanzee) is the source of this 207-nucleotide long non-coding RNA. NCBI's taxonomy places the organism in Eukaryota, Metazoa, Chordata, Mammalia, Primates, Hominidae. The record is from Ensembl.
GCUUCCCAGGGCCCUGUCCAUCAUGUCCUGGCAAGGCAAAGUGACUUCAGAGGGCCAAAAAGAAGAAAAGGGAGUGAGCCAGUCGUUAAGACUCCUAAUCCCGGCUUAUUUUUACUGCUUCUCAACACAGCAUUGCAAGUGGUUGAUUUGGUAAGUAUGAAUGCAGUAGACAAAAAUCUCUGUUCUUAAAGCAUUCUUGCUAAUGUC